Long non-coding RNA from Oncorhynchus keta (chum salmon), 1250 nucleotides. RefSeq lists it as uncharacterized. Lineage: Eukaryota; Metazoa; Chordata; Actinopteri; Salmoniformes; Salmonidae. The record is from RefSeq and is a predicted model, not a curated record. The transcript is spliced from 3 exons.
AGAGAGACAGGACAGAGAGAGAGAGAGACAGGACAGAGAGAGAGAGAGACAGGACAGAGAGAGAGAGAGACAGGACAGAGAGAGAGAGAGACAGGACAGAGAGAGAGAGACAGGACAGAAAGAGACAGGACAGAGAGAGACAGGACAGAGAGAGACAGGACAGAGAGAGACAGGACAGAGAGAGACAGGACAGAGAGAGACAAAGGGAGAGAAAACAUAUAAUUAGUCCAAUCCAGAACACAAUAACCACAGGCUGAUUAUGAUGCUGUAAGGCCCGAGAUGAGAACAUGUGUUUCAAUAGACAUGUGUUUCUCCAAAGAGAACCUCUCAGCACAUGAAACAAAGCAUUGUCAUGGUGGGUAUGUAUAUAUAAUAAAGGCCAGUGAUAAUGAGACCGGCUGUUCAAGUGGCCAAUCAUUCAUUCAGCUCUAUUGGGAUACAUUAAAAAAGGGUCUGUUAACGCUGCACACACACACACACACACACACACACACACCAGGGUUUCUAUUAGCUGGUAAUCGCCAGCUAUUGGCUCUAAAAAAUAAAAAAUAAACAGUUAAAGCUGAUGCAUCAAAUUGUUGCAGACCAAAUUGACUGGGAGAAAAACAACGGUAGUCAGGAGAGACAGGUAGUCAGGAGAGACAGGUAGUCAGGAGAGACAGGUAGUCAGGAGAGACAGGUAGUCAGGAGAGACAGGAGACAGGUAGUCAGGAGAGACAGGUAGUCAGGAGAGACAGGUAGUCAGGAAGUCAGGAGAGACAGGUAGUCAGGUAGUCAGGAGAGACAGGAGAGACAGGUAGUCAGGAGAGACAGGAGAGACAGGUAGUCAGGAGAGACAGGAGAGACAGGUAGUCAGGAGAGACAGGUAGUCAGGAGAGACAGGUAGUCAGGAGAGACAGGUAGUCAGGAGAGACAGGUAGUCAGGUAGUCAGGAGAGACAGGUAGUCAGGAGAGACAGGUAGUCAGGAGAGACAGGUAGUCAGGUAGUCAGGAGAGACAGGUAGUCAGGAGAGACAGGUAGUCAGGAGAGACAGGUAGUCAGGAGAGACAGGUAGUCAGGAGAGACAGGUAGUCAGGUAGUCAGGAGAGACAGGUAGUCAGGAGAGACAGGUAGUCAGGAGAGACAGGUAGUCAGGAGAGACAGGUAGUCAGGAGAGACAGGUAGUCAGGUAGUCAGGAGAGACAGGUAGUCAGGAGAGACAGGUAGUCAGGAGAGACAGGUAGUCAGGAGAGACAGGUAGUCAGGAGAG